RNAcentral lists this long non-coding RNA (4816 nucleotides) under Theobroma cacao (cacao). RNAcentral describes it as "long non-coding RNA (TCAC_LNC005930)". The record is from RNAcentral. Lineage: Eukaryota; Viridiplantae; Streptophyta; Magnoliopsida; Malvales; Malvaceae.
ACGAUUCGUAAUUCUCAAUUAUGAGUACUUCAGUAAUAUACUAUGGCAACUAAAAACAUAUAUUUGUAUUCUCCCAAAAUAAUGUCAUCCAUUGCCAACUCAUAUGGCAUCAUCAAUCAAAAAAUAUAUAUUUUGUUUGCAAAAUAAUUCUUAACAAUGCACAUAUAGUAUACAAGUACACAUGCAAAAGACCUUUAACUACCAGUGGAGUGACUUUGGGUAUGGGUACUGCUACUGAAUGCCAUGGUACCUAUCAAAAGGCGAAUAUAAGUGGACACCUCAAUCUAAGUCCCAACUGUCGCCGAAUCUGAAAAACAUGAAAUUGAAAAGAGUGAGUAUAAACCCAGUGAGUGAACAUAGGAAGGGAACAAGCAAACGAUACGGAAACUUUUAGAAAACACGAUGCACUUAUGUUAAAAACAAUGCAAUUUAGCUUAAUUUCUUGUUAAAACCCUUCAAUUUAGCCUUUGAUUAUUUAAUACCUUAAUGUUGAAAGAUCCGUGAUGGACAAUGAAGUUAAGAGUGAGAAUUGCAGCAGAUCUCGAAACAAGAUAGAGAGUUUCUCGCUGCGGCGAGACUCGAAUUUCGCUGCAGCGAGAAUUAGGGCAGGAUCAAUCCCCCAAGUACGCAAGUUUCUCACUGCAGCGAGAAUCAAUUUAGUUGCAGCAAGAAUAGUGACUCCCAAGACAAAAAGUUUGUCGUUGCAACGAAAAUCAAUUUGGUUGCAGCGAGAACAGUGACUCUCAAGACAAAAAGUUUCUUGCUGCAAUGAAAAUCAAUUUGGCUGCAAUGAAAAUCUCACCCCUAAUGUAGUUUAUAUAUCAUAAACAAACCCGAUGCUAUGUGUAAACACGUAUACAAGAAUUUAUAUGAAUAUAUAUCUACUUUAUAUAUUUAUAUAUGUUUCCAUAUGUUACUUCAAACAUACAUCAAGGACAUUCCACACACCCCCAAAAUAAACAACAUGGUUCAACGCAUACAGCUACCAACGUCACCCCAGCUCAUGUGCACUCUCACACCGCACAUAGCUAAUAUUGUCAUGUGCACUUCCACACCGCUCAUGGCAAAUAUCAUCAUGUACACUCCCACACCGCACUUCACCAUUACCAUCAUGUGUACUUCCACACCACACAUGCACGGUUGUACUUAUCAUAUAAUAUUACCUUUCAAGGUAUAACCUACAUAACAAUAUGUAAACAAAAUCUUUACACAUUAAUACUUUUCGCAUAAUUUAUUGUUUGGCCAUCCACAUGGUUACUCAACCCUAUUUCUUAGGGAAACUAAUUGUAGUACCCUGUAUUUUGAUACGGUGGCUAAUAAAGUUUACGGAUGCCAAUUCAAGUUAAUUACCAAGUUAAAAGGGUAAUUCAGAAGUGAACCUGUGAAAUCUCGAUCUCCAUAGGCACAUAACUAGAAGUAAACGUGAUAAUACGGACCAGGGAUAAUUUCGUAAUUUCUCUUGGUGAGCUCAUAUGAGUGGGUUUUUUUAUGCUAUUAAGGUUUAAAUAGGCCUAAGGAAUUAAUGAAUGAUGUUUAUGAUGGUGAAAUAAAUGAAGAAGAUAAAAAUAAUGAUAAUUUUCAUGGUAGGGGCAAAAUCGUCAUUUUGCAUCUCGAGUCUAAAUUUUUAAGUUUCAUUAACUCGAGAACCUUUAGACUAUUAUGGACUUUGUUUCAGUGUCAAAAAAGCAAAAAGGUUGCACAAAGGAUGGGAGGAAGACAAAGCCACCAUGUUAAGGGCAUUUUGGUAAUUUCAGUGGAAAUUUGGAUUAACUUGAGGCAUAAAUAUCUAAGCUCCAACAGCUUCCAGCAGCUUCUCCUUCUUCUUCUUCCUCCCCUUUCACAUUUCUUCAUCCUCCAUGGAAGCCUCCCUUAAAGCUUCAAUAACUUUAUCUCUCUAGCUUCAAUUUUCAUGCUUUUGAGCACUUUUUCAUAGAACUUUUAUGCUCUUUAACUCUCCCACCUUAAAACCCUCAAAAGUCCUUGUUUAGCACUUUCUCUCACUAGUUGAAAGUUUUAGAGAGAGAAAGAAAGACUCACCGUAGUAGCUUGGAAGCUUUUGAAAAGGAAUUCAACUACAAAAAACCACCAAGGUGAGUAAUAAAUUAGGUUAAAUUUUCAAGUUGUUGAUAAUGGUUGAUGAUUAAAGUGGUGAGUUAAUCUAUUAUUGAGAUUGUUAUUCAUUUUUAAGGUGACUAGAGUAGUGAAAUAAAUAGCCACUUAAUGGUGAUUGAAAGCUAGUUCGGAAUAACUAGCUGAACUUGAAUUAGGAAAUAGCUUUUGAGAGUGUAUUAAUGCCAAUUUGGGUUGGUUGUGAUGUUGUGUGUGUGUAGGUUCCAACAAGGCCUUACAUGUCCAUUUGGAGCAUUAGUUGAGGUUAGAGUCAAGGAAAAGAAUCAACAAGACCGGUGAGUGAACUUGCAUUUCAAAAUAGUUUUGGGAAUGUGAAUGUAUUUGCACAAAAAUCUUUGAAUGAUUUAUCCAACUUUUCUUAAAAAACGGGUGCCUUGGGAACAAGCCUUUGAUAAAUUGUCUCUAUAUGUGACAUGUGACUGUUAUGGAUUCUUGUACUACUCCAUUAUGUUGAUAUAUAUAUAUAUAUAUAUAUAUAUGUUGUGUAAUGAUAUUGACCUGGCUAUGUACGAGUGGGAGUGCACAUAAGCCGAUGCUGACCCGACUAUGUGCGAGUGGGAGUGCGCAGAAGUCGAUGCUGACCCAACUAUGUGCGAGUAGGGAGUGCACAUGAGCGAAAAUAAAUCUCGUUACAGCGAGAAACUCUCGAGUUCUGUUGCAGUGCUUUCACUUUGAUGAAGCUUUUGACCACCUUUCCUUUUGAACUGGGAAAAAUGGUAAACAUUAAAGUUGUAUCCCUACCUCUUAGCUUUCUAAUGGUCCAAAAAUCAGGUUAAUUGGACUUCUGUAACGGGAGAUAUUUUAGAAAAACUGAGACACAUGCAAACUGACACUAUUUCUCGCUGCAGCGAGAAACUUUCUGUUUUGGCCUCCUAAAUCUCGCUGCAGCGAGAAUGAACUUCGUUGUAGUGAGAAACUUGCUGCCAUGCUUGCUACCUUGCUUGAUUUUGACAUAUUUUUCACCCAUUUAAUUUCAUGGAUCGAUCUUGGAUUUUUGCAACACUAUGAGGUUAUUAAUCAAAGUUUGAAAUGAAGGGUUUUAGUAAGCAAUUAAACCAAUUGCAUUGUUUUUGAAACAAGUGCAUCAUAAUUUCUAAAUUCUUCCUAUUGAUUGCUUGUUCCCUUCUUAUGUUCACUCAUUGAGUUUUAUACUCACGUUUUUAAACUUUAUGUUUUCAGAUUUGGAGGUAGUUGGGACCUAGAUUGAGUCGCACAUAUAUUCUCGCCUUCUUGGUUGGUACUAUGGUAUCUCAGUAGCUGUAUCUUCACCUAAAGUCACUCUGCUGACGGUCAAGAGUCUUAUGCUUGUGUACAUAUAUAAGUAAUCAAGACCGCUAAGAUUCAUGUUAAAAAUCAAAUAUGUAUGUUUGAUUGCUGAAGCCACUGUAAGGUGGCAAAUGAGUGAUACUAUGUUAGCAUAAUAUAAUUGUGAGUAUUGGGUUACUAUAAAAUGUUUUUGAAAUAUUUUUAGUUGAUAAUUACAAUAUGGGUUUGAGAAAUGAUGGUUUGGAAUGAUGAUCGGGAUUGCAUAAAUAGGCUUGUUUGGACUUAGUGGGCUAUGCCCAUUGGGCCCAUGCAUUGGUCAUAGCUUGGAAUUUGGGCUGUGACAUUAAUAUUGACCGUCAUACAGCUAUUUGUCACAUAUCAAAAUUAUCAUUGCAUCACAUGCCACAAUUCACAUGGUAAUUUAACAUAAUAUAGGAAACACACGAAUACAUCACAUUACACAUUUCACAAUGUAAAGACACUUCAUCAAAGGCUUGUUUCCAUGCAUGUUUUUAAAGAAAAGACAAAUAAAAUUUUUCAAGUGAUUCAUUCAAACGCAUAUGCAUUUAUCCCAAACAUUUUAAAUGCAAGUUCACUCACUUGUCUUUGUUGAUUUUCCUUUUUUUGAUCUGCUCCAACCUCAACUAAUGCUCCAAGUGGAAAUGUGGGGUCUCGUUGGAACCUAUCACAUAUAAUAGCCUCACAACCAACCCAAUUUGCGUGAAUAUAAAUCCAAAGGCUGUUUCCUAAAUCAAACUUUACUAGUUUUUCCUAACUAGUUUUUCAAUCACUAUUUGACUAGUCAACUUAAUACUAACUCCAACAAAUUUCAUAACACUUUUUUCAUUACUUCCACUUUCUAGCACCUAUAUCAUCCUUAAAAUUCAAAAUUCCAAACUUAAUUAAUUCCCUUAGUGACAUCUUACACCAACACAAUGCUCUUUAUUAAACUAGUCAUUUGUUUGCACUAUUCUAAUCACAUUAGAAAUAAAUAAUCACAUAUCCAUUUCAAUAUAACCUUCAAUAAUAAAACAGCCCACAAAUCUAAUUAUUGGCCAUCAUUAAUAAUUUAAAAAUCAACCCUAACUCAUUACUCACCUUAGGGGACUUGUAGUUGAAUUUCCCUAGUGAAGAUUAAAGAGGGGAAAAUUCUUUUCAGAGUUUUUAAGCUAUUUUGAAGAGUUUCUCUCUCUUAAAACGUUCAACUAGUGAAAGAAAGUAUGGAGGAAAACUUUUUAAGGGUUUUUGAGGUGAAAAAGUGAAAGAGCAUGAAAAAUCCUAUGAAAAAGUGUACAAAAGCAUGAGAUUUGGAGUUAAUAUGAAAAAGUUAUGGAGGUUUCAAUGAUGGCCUCCAUGGAAGAUGGAAAGUUUUGAAAUGGGGAGGAGAAAUGGGAAGAAGAAGAAGAAAGUGCUGGAAAGU